Parelaphostrongylus tenuis is the source of this 69-nucleotide non-coding RNA. The record is from the annotation of a GenBank genome assembly. Lineage: Eukaryota; Metazoa; Nematoda; Chromadorea; Rhabditida; Metastrongylidae.
ACCUCGGUGGUGCAGUGGCAGCACGUCCCCGCUAUGGAUGAAACGCGGGUUCGAUUCCCGCCUGAGGUC